Molecule: transfer RNA, 59 nt
Filed under: Lachnaea ruscifolia
Lineage: Eukaryota; Viridiplantae; Streptophyta; Magnoliopsida; Malvales; Thymelaeaceae
Description: partial transfer RNA-Phe
Source: RNAcentral
CGGGAUAGCUCAGCCGGAGAGCAGAGGACUGAAAAUCCUCGGGUCCCCAGUUCAAAUAA